Molecule: ribosomal RNA, 415 nt
Filed under: uncultured crenarchaeote
Lineage: Archaea; Thermoproteati; Thermoproteota
Description: partial 16S ribosomal RNA
Rfam family: Archaeal small subunit ribosomal RNA
Source: RNAcentral
GUGCACCAGUCGCGAAAACUCCGCAAUACGCGAAAGCGUGACGGGGCUACCCCGAGUGUCGUCCGCUGAGGACGACUUUUCCACGCUGUAAGGAGGCGUGGGAAUAAGGAGAGGGCAAGUCUGGUGUCAGCCGCCGCGGUAAUACCAGCUCUCCGAGUGGUAGGGACGAUUAUUGGGCUUAAAGCGUCCGUAGCCGGCUCAGCAAGUCUCCCGUUAAAUCCAACGAUUCAAUCGUUGGACUGCGGGAGAUACUGCAGAGCUAGGGGCCGGGAGACGCAGAAGGUACUCCUGGGGUAGGGGUGAAAUCCUAUAAUCCUAGGGGGACCACCAGUGGCGAAGGCGUUCUGCGAGAACGCGCCCGACGGUGAGGGAUGAAAGCUGGGGGAGCGAACCGGAUUAGAUACCCGGGUAGUCC